UACGUAGGGGGCAAGCGUUGUCCGGAUUCAUUGGGCGUAAAGAGCUCGUAGGCGGCUUGGCAAGUCGGGUGUGAAACCUCCAGGCUCAACCUGGAGACGCCACCCGAUACUGCCAUGGCUAGAGUCCGGUAGGGGACCACGGAAUUCCUGGUGUAGCGGUGAAAUGCGCAGAUAUCAGGAGGAACACCGGUGGCGAAGGCGGUGGUCUGGGCCGGAACUGACGCUGAGGCGCGAAAGCCAGGGGAGCGAACGGG
Molecule: ribosomal RNA, 254 nt
Filed under: uncultured bacterium
Lineage: Bacteria
Description: partial 16S ribosomal RNA
Rfam family: Bacterial small subunit ribosomal RNA
Source: RNAcentral